GACGAACGCUGGCGGCGUGCUUAACACAUGCAAGUCGAACGGAAAGGCCCUGCUUGCAGGGUACUCGAGUGGCGAACGGGUGAGUAACACGUGGGUGAUCUGCCCUGCACUUCGGGAUAAGCCUGGGAAACUGGGUCUAAUACCGGAUAGGAGCCAUUUUUAGUGUGAUGGUUGGAAAGUUUUUUCGGUGUAGGAUGAGCUCGCGGCCUAUCAGCUUGUUGGUGGGGUAAUGGCCUACCAAGGCGGCGACGGGUAGCCGGCCUGAGAGGGUGGACGGCCACAUUGGGACUGAGAUACGGCCCAGACGCCUACGGGAGGCAGCAGUGGGGAAUAUUGCACAAUGGGCGCAAGCCUGAUGCAGCGACGCCGCGUGGGGGAUGACGGCCUUCGGGUUGUAAACGCCUUUCGCUAGGGACGAAGCUUUUUGUGACGGUACCUAGAUAAGAAGCACCGGCUAACUACGUG
RNAcentral lists this ribosomal RNA (465 nucleotides) under uncultured bacterium. RNAcentral describes it as "partial 16S ribosomal RNA". It matches the Rfam family "Bacterial small subunit ribosomal RNA", at positions 28 to 507 of the family's 1533-position model. The record is from RNAcentral.